RNAcentral lists this small nucleolar RNA (107 nucleotides) under Theobroma cacao (cacao). RNAcentral's name for it is "Plant small nucleolar RNA R71". It matches the Rfam family "Plant small nucleolar RNA R71". Rfam says of the family: R71 is a member of the C/D box family of snoRNAs containing the C (UGAUGA) and D (CUGA) box motifs. The record is from Rfam by way of RNAcentral. Lineage: Eukaryota; Viridiplantae; Streptophyta; Magnoliopsida; Malvales; Malvaceae.
AGACCAUGAUGAGGACAAUGUCGAAGCAAUUCUUUGUAUCUUUCCCAUGCUUAAUACAACAAUUUCGAAUCUUGCUGCAUGAACAAUGUGAUGUCAUUCCGCAUUUU